UAUGAAGUCUUCUUUAUCACUGUGUCACUAAAAUGUUAAUCUUUAGCAAGAUUACUAGUACACAUCUAAGUCAGCAAUAAUGAAAAAAGUUACUAUAUAAAUUACAUAAACUUUUUGCAUAACUUCUUUGAAUAAAAUUAAUGCUGCUUGGUGUAUUCGCAGCACAACACAUAAUAAUGCUUUCAAUGUUCCUGGUGACACAAAUCAGUUUGAAGAAAGGAUUGACCGUGGUAUAUGAGGCAGAUCUGAAAUUAAGCAGCCUUCCCACACCAGGCACAGUCUUCUUUUGGUUUUAUGACACAGAAGAUAGCUUGUUCACAGCAAAAUCUCCCCUAAUUCAACUUCUGAGCAAUUAAGACUUUCUCUCUAGAGUCCAGUGAUUCUCCCCUAAUGACGCUCAAGCCUCUGGCAUGAACUGUUAUGCGUCAGGAUUUUUUGUUUCUGUGUACAGAAGUCCCAAGUCACAGCCAGCAGUAGCCAAGGUGAGACCCACUGAGUGCUAGGCUCAUCUUUGAUCUUCAUGCUGUACUCUGCCUCAAACAAAACAAUCCCAUUUCCCCAUAGAACCCAUGUCAUCCUUUCAUAUCAGUAGGAACGAAAGGACAUUUCCAGUGGUUUAAGUCUCAGUUGUAAAGAACCUGUUUCAUUUUAUUUCCCAUUCUAUUUGUCCUGAUUUUAUUUUGGAAUCUCUUUUGUAGUUUUCUAAAAGCAAGGCUUCUGACAAAGUCCACUAAAUGCCCAAGGAGUCCUUCCCCUUAUUUGACAAGGGUAUCAUUCAACUGAUUCUCUUCAAGUCGUAUAAAAUGAGUUAAAUAGAGCUAAAAUGGAUGCUUCCCUGCCAGCUUGUAAGUAAGAUUUUGCUUACACAUCUACCAUCCCUCUCCUGUUGCAGAAAUGACAACAACCCUGGGUCUACAAGACACUUCAAGGUUCCCAAACAGUACUAAAGUUCUUCUACCAGCCCAGCCUUGUUUAUUUCUUUCUGAAAACAAAAUUCAAGAUUCUUACACCCACCCUAAAUGUUUCUUCCUCUAUGAAGGGAAGAACUCUGCUUUUCCUCCCCCAAACAGAUGAUUAUAUGCUCAAACAGAAUAAAUCAAUGAAAAAAAA
RNAcentral lists this long non-coding RNA (1110 nucleotides) under Marmota monax (woodchuck). Lineage: Eukaryota; Metazoa; Chordata; Mammalia; Rodentia; Sciuridae. The record is from RNAcentral.